This is a long non-coding RNA of Gasterosteus aculeatus aculeatus (three-spined stickleback), 14592 nucleotides long. The record is from Ensembl. NCBI's taxonomy places the organism in Eukaryota, Metazoa, Chordata, Actinopteri, Perciformes, Gasterosteidae.
AAAAUAUUCAUGAAAAUAUUCAUGAAAAUAUUCACGAAAAUAUUCAUGAAGAUAUUCAUGGAAAUAUUCAAGAAAUAUUCAAAGGGAGGAUUCAUUACAAAGAUUAUAUGCGAUAAGGGGAGAAGAAAACCUGUGUUUGCCACGUAUCUUGCUUUCCACAAUAUUGCGAGGAAAACAAAAGGAGUGAUCUUCAUAGGGAACCUGUGGGCUAAUGGUUGGUGAAAGAAAAGAUAUUCCAAAAAAUAAUCAAAAAAUAAUCAAAAAAUAAUCAAAAAAUAUUCAUCAAAAUAUUCACGAAAAUAUUCACGAAAAUAUUCACGAAAAUAUUCAUGAAGAUAUUCAUGGAAAUAUUCAAGAAAUAUUCAAAGGGAGGAUUCAUUACAACGAUUAUAUGUUAUAAGGGGGGAAGGAAACCUGUGUUUGCCACGUAUCUUGCUUUCUACAAUAUUGCGAGGAAAACAAAAGGAGUGAUCUUCACAGGGAACCUGUGGGCCGAUUGUUGGUGAAAGAAAAGAUAUUCAAAAAAAUAAUCAAAAAAUAUUCAUCAAAAUAUUCAUCAAAAUAUUCACGAAAAUAUUCACGAAAAUAUUCAUGAAGAUAUUCAUGCAAAUAUUCAAAGGGAGGAUUCAUUACAACGAGUAUAUGUUAUAUUACAUUACAUUACAUUAUAUGUCAUUUAGCUGACGCUUUUAUCCAAAGCGACGUACAAUAAGUGCAUUCAACCAUAUAAGGGGGGAAGGAAACCUGUGUUUGCCACGAAUCUUGCUUUCUACAAUAUUGCGAGGAAAACCAAAGGAGUGAUCUUCAUAGGGAACUAGUGGGCUAAUGGUUGGUGAAAGAAAAGAUAUUCAAAAAAAUAAUCAAAAAAUAUCCAUAAAAAUAUUCAUGAAAAUAUUCAUGAAAAUAUUCACGAAAAUAUUCAUGAAAAUAUUCACAAAAAUAUUCAUGAAAAUAUUCAAGAAAUAUUCAAAGGGAGGAUUCAUUACAAAUAUUAUACGUGAUAUGGGGCGAGAGGGAAGCCUGUGUUUGCCACGUAUCUUGCUUUCUACAAUAUUGCGAGGAAAACAAAAGGAGUGAUCUUCAUAGGGAACCAGUGGGCUAUUGGUUGGUGAAAGAAAAGAUAUUCAAAAAAUAUUUACAAAAAUAUGUUUAUCCUUCGCCAAGAACAACUAAAUUGUUCUAACUGUACUCCACAUGAUCGGAUCCUUUCUAAUUUCCAUACGUUUGAUGAGUCAUCUAAAGUGGAAUCAAAGUCAUAGCGCCACCUAAUGGUAACAGGAAGUAACAUUUUCUAAACAACGAAGGUUGGUACUUUUGUAGUACCAAACAAAGCUUAAAUUGUAACUAAAUGUGGCACACACAUUUGGAGUCAAAGAUGUAGUUGCUUGAUAUCAUUUUAAUGAUUCAAAAUGGUAAUUCGGCUCAAUAGCGCCCUCUACAAAUAUUCAUUUAAGCAGCCCCAGCGCUAUGUUUGACCUACAAGUUUGAAACUCAGUAAGAAUAUAAAUGAAGUAAACUGAAAAACUAGUCUUUUGAGACCAUCCUCGAAACGGUAACAGAAGUAGGCAAUUUAGAUUUUUGUGUGAUGUUUUGUUUGAUAUGCAUAUCCGGACUAUUGAAUACCGGACCUUUCCCCAUAUUUCUCAUGUGUCAUGAAAUCUUUACCCUAUAGACAUCCAUAUGAUCAUUUAGAAUUCUAGUCAUGUUUUCUAUUCUAUUCCCUGCUCCUCGGAAAUUUAUCGGAUCCCUCUCAAAUGUACCUAAGACUUUAAUAAUGUUAAAGAUGACGUUUGCCAAGCAGCAUCCCUGGUGUCCUUUCUUAUUGUUAACGACCAUUGACUCUUGACGGCCGCAGGAGGGCCAGUGCCCCGACAUGCGGGGUAGCGAGGACCCAUCCAUCAUUGCCUGCAGCUUUAAUUUUAUUAAUGUUUUAUUCUUUCCCAAAGGGGUUGAGACAAUUCUCCCACUUCUUUAACCAGAUAAACCAUUAAAGCUCAAAAUAGGUUUCACAAAAGUGGAUUUUUUGGAAAUACUUGGUUUCCACAGGACAACGGCGACAUACAGGUUUAUUAACAAAAAAAGAAAAUGGCACCACGGUUUCAACUUUGAUUAUAUGUCAACAUUCAAUGACUUACUUGAGUUCAGGGAAAAACUGAAGUUGUCUUUGCAGAGCUGUGACUCUGUGAGAUUGACAUUUAUUGACAUUGAGCUCUUAAAAAGGCCACAAAGACGAAGAGAUACUAAUAUUCUUCAUCUAUAAAGAGAAGGUAGUUCAACCUUGUAAACUAACUCACCUCGGCUCUACAUCUUUCUUCUUUUCUCUUCUAUUUCAUUUUACUCAAGUGAAAUAUCUGGAGACCUUCCACAUCUGGUAAUUGGUUUAACCUCAACCUCAAUAUUCUACAUUUGAGUUAUAAACGUACGUAUGUGCAUUACCCAUGCAGAAUCAAUAGAGUGAUAGAACAAAGUAUGAAUAAAUGAGAAUUGUUUGGCGGGGAUACUUCUUGAAUUGUCAUUUGGCCUUCACCUAUUGAUAACGUAAGUAUCCCUGGGCUGAUUUUGUAUGAGAAUUUCUAAAACAUUAAAACCUAAACACCUGAUUAGGUAUAAAUGACCUGCAGUGUCCAUCAGGAUCGGGAGUUCGAGUUGUGAGUUCACCAUGAUUUGGUUAAAGCUGGUUACGCAACACACUCUGGUUCAUUCUACGUUGCCUUCUCUAAGCUUUUCUUAAAGUGCAGUGGCAGGCAACGGGAAAAGAGUUUAAACUUUAAUCUCAGAGUACUUUGUCUGAUUGGUUGGCUCAAAUCAGAGGAGAAUUGGGGGAAGAAUUUGGAAGUUAAAAUUUGUCUUGACUGUAAAUGUUCAACAUUUGAAAACCAUUUGGAGGAACAGUGUAUUUCAAGCAAGGGAAUGUUUGCCAGUGGGAUAAACAUGGUGGUGAAGCCACCAAUAAACACCCUUAAAGUCAAGGUUGCCUAGCAGCGGGCUAAAUGUAGCCGGCCCGGUUCCGUCAUCUCUGCUCUUCUCAGAAAGCCUUCCGUGCUGCUGAGUGCGUCUCCGAUGGGAAGCGCUGCAAUGAAUGGAAUCAGAUGUCGACAGUGAGCCAGUUUCCUUUUUGUUCUGUAGGUGAUAUAACUUAUCAUAAUGACAGAAAGUCAUAUAAAAACCCUAAUUUGACGGUUUUCUCGUUUUUUCUUUAUUAUCUUGUGUGGGGAAGAUGAAAGAAAAGUUUUUUCUAAUUAGCUGGGAUUAGCUGAGCUGCAUGAAACACAUUUUCAGCCCUUUUGAGAAAGACUUUAUCUUUUUUAUUUAAUCCAAAUACUCAACCAGGGAAAUCAGGCUUUACGAUGACAAACCAACACUUUGCAUACAAAUGGAAUUGACAUUUAGCAUUAACAAUUAUAAUGCACGGUGCUGUUUUACAUGCAUUUAUCUUCUCCUCCUACAAAUAGAAGGAAGACUGCGGGAAGUAAGCAGCAUCCUCUCUGUCUUCAUACAUGUUUCAUUUGCUCAACGGUUUUAUUCCGAGCUGUCGCUCUAAAGGAGGUGAGUGUUGUCUGGCAUGAAUAACUUUUGUUCUUGACUGAUUAGCCUGCGACAGCAACAACGCUUCAAAAAUAUGAUGAUUGUGUUUUUGUGCCUUUGUGAUGAGUGUGCUGCACUGGAGAGAACUGCUGCGUUUUGUACCGCACAUCCUCAUCAGCAGCAGCUAAAUCCUUUAAAUAAGUUAGUGUCAGUGUUCAUAUCACCGAGAGGAAACAACGGCUCGGCACACACACACGCACACACACACAGCGGUAAUGCUCACAUAUGUACGAUUAUUUUUAGGCAGCAGCUUAUUUCAACAUUCAGAAAUCGACGGUCAUUUUGUAUAUAUAAUUUCUAUUUAAGUGUAAGAAUACUGCUCUAUGUGUUGUACUUGUUCUGUUUGUCAUUGAGCUUUAAAUAAAAUGAAGAGGAUUUAAAUGUAAUUCCCCACAGGUGGGAAAUCGAUUUAACGAGAGAUUUUAUGUGCUGUCUCUAACAAGGAGACGUCUCGUGUAACCGAUGACACUUUACUGCCGUAUAUGACCAUGCACGACAUUUAAAGUCUAUACUCGUCAGUGUUUACAACAACAAUGUAUCAAAUAAUAACCAGAAGGGGUUGUUUGCAUGAAUCUUUGGAGGAUUAUCAUCUGAAUCUGCAGUGCUUUUGAGCUUCACUGAGCUUCAUUUUGAGUUUAAGCUAAUUGUCCAACUUACCACUUUACCGUUUCCACUUAAAGGAACAAGAGCUAGGCGAGAAAGAAUCAUUGAACAUAAGCACACCAAACCCAAAGAACCUUUCAUGUUCCUAUAUUUCCACCUCAGAAGCUCUCGGUAUGCAAAAGCUUGUUGCUCAGCUCCUGUGAUCCGAACAGAUGAUUAGCGAUGAUUGUUACGGUGUUAGAGAUGUACAAAUGAACGCUUCCUGAACGCUUUGAGUAAUGCUUAAAUCAUUUGUCGAGAUUAUUUUCAAACUCCACGCUGGAGGGAUGUGUAUGGAAAUGGAAAACAGGGGGGGCUAUGAAUCCUAAGCGGUUCCUCUCUGCAGGCUCCUUCUCAACAUCACUUCAAUUUGAAGCAGUUGCUUGUGGUGUCAAAUUGGGAUUUGCUUUGCGCCACCAAUCACUCAUCUAUCAAAAUACCCCCUCCUCAUCAGUCACCCCCCCCCUGUGAUGAGACGUAGGGGAUAAAGAGAGAAGAAGUUAGGGUGAAGGAUGCAUGGCAGUGAGAAAGGGAACGAGAAGGAAAUGUGAAGGAGGGGGUGAAAGACGGGGUGCAGAGAUGAGUGUCGGGGGGGGGGGGCUCUGCUUGUUGCACUACGUGCACUCUGAGGAUGUGACAUGAUGUCAUGGUACUUCUUCAGCUGUUGUUGGGGGCGGGGGUUGAGUCCUUGUGUCAGUGGGGUCUUUUUGUUUUGUUGUACAUAAUGAAUCAAAUCAAGCUGAAUAUUCAAAUGCAAAGCAAAGACUAAAAAUGGUCUUUGACACUGCAUUCAAGUGACAGCUUGAACGAACAUUUAUCCAAAAUAAAAAGGUCCUUAUGGCUCUCUGCAGAUAUUGUUAUUCCACAUCCUCCUCGGGGGCGGGGGGGCUGCAUUCAUGUUUCAUCAGACUUGCCAUAAUGAUGCGUUCCUCACAGUCCAUUGAAGCUCCUAUACGUCAUCGUCAGCGUCAGAGGAGCCCCAGUCUGGACUGAUAAAGAUGUAUCGCAUCUAACCUGGCAGGUAUCAAAAGAAGACCAAAAAUACCCUCCACACUUAACCAGGAAAAGUAUGUGGGGGUGUCGGGAAUGAGUUAGCCGAGGACAGAACUCGACGAGGUGGAUUCGUCAGUAAAAGGAAGCGUUUCUUCUCUCCUGCUUUACGGUGUAACACCACUUUUAUUCUCUCUAUCGGGGGCUUUUUGCCCCCCAGCCUCAUACAUUUCUACUUCAGCCUGUGCUCAUAAUGCCAUGCUCUUUAUAGGGGGAAAAAACUCUGGCGGCUUACAGGAGAAGUGCCAUCUGUCCUUGGCAGACUUGAUCCUGGGCGCAGAUUAGGAUGAGCUGCUAUAAAAAUAAACAGGACAUAUGUGACGGAAACACACACCUCUCUGGAGAUUAUAAAUAAACCGGCUGACGGGAUUGUGUUGUGUCCCUUAUAGGAGUCAGUAUCCGAAUGCUGCUUGUGAUGAAUUGAACUUGUUUAACGUAUUGUGAUUGUGACAGAAGGUGAGCAGGCUGUAACAGACACUGUUUCUUUCUCCCUCAAUAACCCCCCAACACAAACAGUGGCCAAUGCAGUGCUCCUCCCUCAGAUCUUCAUCUGCAGCCCUCUGUUAUUCUUCUGGACGAUUCAUUUCCCCCGAUGCACUGAGCAGCCUCCACCCUCAGCGCAGCAGCAUGUGUGUGUCUGUGUGUCUGUGUGUGUGUGUGUGCAGCAAGCCGAGGCCAGCUGUGUGCUUCCCUUCGUCCCUCUUCGCCGUCUCUGUCUGACCCAUUUUCCUCAGCAGAGAUGUUGAUGAAGCAAAAGUGACGAUCCGGGGUGAGAGUGUCAUUAAGUGGGGAUGUUGGUGUUUAAAAUACAACAACACUUCUGUUGCAGUUAGUGGGAAUUGUAGAUUGUUCUCAUAUUUAGUGCAGCUUUGAACUCAUGCAGGACAUUGUCAAGUCAGUAUAAGGAAUUUUAAAGUCUUCUUGAUUAAUAUUACAGUACCUUCGACGAAUGUGCUUGUGGACAACAACUAUCUUUGCUGGAAUCCUCCCUGUCAAUAUUUUUGGAUUUUGGUCUUCAUUCUGAAGAUCCUCUAGCCCGAUAGUCCACCAGCAGGACAGACAAGGGUUGUCUUCGUCUGGUGCAAAGAAUGGGGAGGACACCUUGAACGCGGAUGGAGACCAUAUGCUCCAGGUGGCCUGGGACCAUUUUAUCUCCCAGGGGGAGCUGAGCAAUGUCGCUGGGGAAGAGGAUGCAUGGGUGGCUGUGAUCACCAUGUUGCCAUGGCAACCCUGUACCGGAUAAGUAAUGGAAAUGGACGGAUGGAUGGAUCCGUAGGACUACAAAGUUUAAGUGCCCAAGGAUAUUGCUCUGACUGAAAUAACAUUUGGACCGAAAAAAUAAAUACAUGGAAGCCAAAGCACGGAAUGGACAGAUUUGGUCACAAAAUAUUGAAAUUAGAGCAAUCAAUGCAGAGAAAAAUCACAUCACUGUUGGCAGUAGCCUACAAAAGAACACAUUUAUGAAACGUCAUAGAAAUGUCUUCGGCAUAGCAACAACAGUGCAAUGAUGCUCGGCAUUGCGAUAAAAGGUGUUCACAGAACAAAGUGGACUGUGGACAAGCUUUGUGUGGGAAGAAAUGAGCCGCUGUCCUCCUCGCACUCUAACGAGGAACCGGUGGUGAACUAAACAACCCUCUAAAUGAUUGAAUUUGUACAACUCAUUAAGCAGCGGUGAUUGAAUAUGUGGACGUGUACACGCCGAGGGCCCGCGCGGCGGUGACCUUACGCGCUCGGAACACCCGCGCAGGACAGCUACCUUUAACUCUCCUCAAUCUCCUGUGAUCGUCUCUCGGAGCAGCCAGAGGCAACCGGCGCUAGCUGCAGCUGUGAGAGAUAUUCCCAGGGUGGUGACCAAUCACGGCUUCAUUCACCAGAGCAGCAGAGUCCGACCCAACGAUCGACUCUUUUCUGCUGACAGCUUGAGCAAUGGAGAAAUAGAGGUCCAACCUCCAGGUUUCCACGUAAAAGCGAUACUUUGGGGGCUGUGGUGGUGAUUGCUCAAGUGAUCAUUGCAAAGGUUUUAAAAGGAUAAACUGUGUCCGGGCUUAUGUGUUAAGCAAUGCUUUUGGAGCUUAGAGCUGAGAAAACAAAAGCAUCCUCUUCAUGUUCAGGAAUUAAUUAUGGCAGCAGGCGAGGAGCCUCUGAGUGGAUUUUUACAAAACAAACGGCGACGUACUUAAAAAGGAAUAACAAAAGGUCCGUGCAUGGUCUCCGUACCAGCCCAUAUGUCUAAAUGUCUGCAUGUGUUCGUGCAUUGUGACUGCCAAUUAAAUCAAACAACUCUAUCUAUGCAUGCAGACGUAACCUCUGAGCCACGGAUAUCCAUUCAUGUACUAAUUAAUUGUUGCUUCCAAGUGUAAGGAGUCACAUCUUCUCGUUUCAUGAUGGAAACAAUGACAACUGAGGGAAAACCCCCGCAGGCGUUAAAGCUACUAAAUGAAAGGAGACGUUCCAAAGUAAUUUUUAUUAUUCAGGCUUUCAGUACGGAAGGUUGUCUUCCUAUAUGUUCUUUUCUCAAACAUUCCGUCAAAAACAGCUUACUUGUGUUGCAAAUGCAGUGAUGAAAGACUGCAAGAAAAGGCACUUCGGGGAGAGUGAAGGUUUUCCAGGCCAAUUGUGGUAGCUCCUCAUGCAUAGUGAAUCAGCAGCCACGGCGCUGUGUCCGUGGACUUGUAACAGGCGGAAACGCUCUCCUGUGGGCAGCGGUGAGGAAACGAGAUGUGUCUAUAAUGAAAACACUUUGUACCCAGCGUUUCUUUCAAUGGCAGAAAUCGCAGUACUUUUGUGGGUGUACCUCUGCGAUGAGGUGUGCAUGUCAGAGGCAGAGUGCACUGAUGUUACACUGGAAGAAAGUACGCCUGUUAACGAAUAUUUGGAGCAAGAUCUCAAAGUGGACUCACUGACAAAGUGACGCCUUUUAUGUUUGUGCUGCGUGACGUGUUGUGUGAUGUAUUAUCUUACAUAAUUCCCCCCAUUCCCGUUCUGAAAAACCAUAAAAAAUGAAUGAACCCCUUAGAAAUGCUUGCUCUCCAGACAAUAAAUUCUAUUUUUAAUCAUUUUGACGCUUUCAGAAAGAAAGAUUCACAGGGCCCCCUGCAGCUGAACUGCAAAAGAUAGAAGAUCGGUUCCUGGGACAAUAGAUAGUAAAGGUGAAGUGCAAUUACAGGAAAAUAUCAGCGAGAAGUACUGCUGCUCACACAGUGGGGCAAAAACAUGGCCGGCCAUGUCCAUCAACUGGGACUUUUAGGAGUUUUAAAAGUUUUUGUAUAUAGCCACGUCCAUUGCGUUGAAAUGAAUUGAAACAGUAUCUGAUUUGCAGACUGAGCUCGGUGGAUAAUCGGCACAUUCCCCGCCAAAAUAAAUUGCUUUAUUAUCAUGCAGUUUGAUGUCAUUUAUUUUUCUUUUGUCUCCUCUUAUCUCAGCAGUGAUGAAGGAAGUAAGCUCUCAGUAAACAAAAUGCAGAACGUUUUCCCUGCAGCUGUUUUUCCUUUGCAGAGAAUUGUGAGCAACCUGCAUCGGACGAAGGAAGCAAAUCUCUCCUGCAGACGGUUUAGGCUGUACAAAAAACCUUAUUGUCAUCGGGGGUCAAAGUUCUCUCGGUUGCAUUAUUCUCAUUGAGCUGAAACUUAUUUAGCUGCACCUCUAUGCUCAUUUUUUGGCCCACUUUCCUCCAUUUUGUGGAUAUAUUUGCCGAAGUGAAAACUGGGCCAGUAUCCCAUGAGCACCCACAUGUAGACAGGAAUAAGAUUUAUUUCCCAGAAUUCCCCACAAGGGAACACUGUCCCCUGCCCUGUCUGGGCAGAAGUGAUGAAACAUGAAGGGAAGAGGAGGCGAGAGGUGAAGAGCCAGAUGGAGAGGCGAGGCAACAGAUAUUUGGAUCUACAGCGCACCCAGUGGAAUAAAAGACAACUAAAAAAAACGAAAUGCAGUGAAAAAGAGAAAGGGUGCAAGAGAGGGUGCGGAAGGUCCACAAGUUAGUUUAGGUGUUCAGAUGAGCUCUUCUUUCCAGCCGUUUUAACCUUGAACUCAGCCGGCAACUGAAGAGUUAACAGUGAAGAAAGGAAGGCUUUAUUAACUUCACCCGGAGGUUGAUAAUAUCCACUCAUAUGGUGAUGAUACACAUACAUGAUCACAUGUUUAAAGCUUAAAGAAAAUGUAUUCAAUAAAACAUAUCGUUUCUUUCUGAGCCACAGGUUUCAAACCACUGUGCUUCGUCAUACUUAUAUGUCUGAGUUCUUCUUCCUUUUGAGUUUAUAAAAUAUGUAACUUUUUAUUCAAUUUGUGGCACACUACGUCUCCUCCAUGUAAUCGACCGAACGGCACACAAAAGCAGUUAGAUGCAUCUUACUUCAAAUAACAAACAUUCCUAUAAAUAUAUAAAAAUGUACCAAAACAGUGAUCAGUCAAUUUACAAAAAUAUGUUAUAAAGUUCAAGUGUAAUGAUAUGAAGUUGAUUACAUAACUAUUACGGUACAUGAUAUAUAUAGUCAUAGAGGAAAUAUAUUCAUAUUGUCUGAAAUGUACAUAGUAGUACUUAUAAAAAUGUUCUUGGAUGAAGUAUAUUUCAGUAACUCUUUGUGUCUCUCUUGCAAUGGCAGGUAUUGUAAUCUCGUCCCGAAUGAAAUGUCAACAUAUCCAUAACAAUAACCCAGCAAGUCGCCAUCACCUACUGCAAACACAGCACGCCCCCGCGUGACGUCCAGUUGACACAACUCAUUGACGGCUCCUCAAAAUAAUGUGACAGCGGCUCCUGGCUCCUCUGUUUGCUCUCUGAUCAGCCUCAUUCAACAACCAGCGCCAUGCAACAGAUGGUCGGCGCCUGUUUGUGUACAUACGGCACAUAUUUAGGUCAGGUACGCGCCGCGGCCGCUGGUUGCCAUGGGAACUGGGCAUCAAACAUGACAGCGAUAUCUCGGUGAGAAGUUUCCUCCUCUCACACCUCUCGUUCCCCCUCAGCUUGCUACCCGUACGGAUUGUGUGGGAACAUUCACCUGGGGGGGGGGGUUAUUGUCGUCGAAACGGGCUGAGCGUGCACGGCUUCGCUCUGCUGGUGAUGGAGACGAAGCUUCGCUUUGGUCAAUAAUCCAACACACAUCUGCUGCAGCCGGAAGCACAUCGGCGUUGCCGUUGCUGCCUUUGGCCUGAAUGUACAGUACAAAAUCCCUACUCCCCCCACUUUGACCUGGAUUAUCAUCUCCACCUCACACUUUGCCGCCUGUCUCGGACCCCUUUGCGAAUGCCUGUGCGUGACCUUGGGUGACUGAGUGAACACAAAGGGAUUCUCCCUGUCUCUGCCUGUCUCCUUUCAUCCCACACACACACACACACACACACAAACAUGCGCUGUGCAUGGUAAGCGCACGUGAUUGGAUUCAGUGAGCUGCUGAUGCAUGUUGAAUGCUGAUGAGAUUCUCUGGGUGGUUUCUGAAAAAAAAAAAAAAGAAAAAAAGAGGAGAAGCGAUAAAAAGCUUCCUCUGUGCCGGCAGGAAGGAGAGAAGAGAGAGAGAGGAGGAGAGAAAACAGGCCCAGCAGAAUAUUCAUCAACGUCAGAACCCUCAUUUCCAGGUCACACCGCGCACGUCCAAUCACGCAUGACGCGCGCAGGUGGAAACACCUCCACGCGCCCUCACCGUUACUCUGCGGGAUGCGCCAAUGCCUUUACUCAUCACAUGAUGCCGCAGUGGAAUUGUACACAGACCUGCUUUGUCCCACUUUUUCUCUUUUAAUGUCUGUUCAGGCUAAUGAGGUGAAACAUUAGCUUGAGGGACCACCGGGGAAGCUUUCGGGGUCAACAGCACGCAGAGUCCUUUUUGGUGUGAGAUCGCUGCAGAUUGCGUAUUCAUGCACAGGAUGAUCAGGGGCAUCGGUCGCCAAGCCGGGGUUUGCUUUUGCUCCUCGCUUCUCUUAUUGUCAACAAUGCAAGAAAAAUAAUAAAAUAAACGUCCAAGUAUUUCCUGUGUUUUGUAAAGCCUGAUAUUGCUUAUUGUUCUGUGCCAUAGAUUUAAAUUGCUGUCCUAAACUAUUAAAAACACAUCAGUGAGUCACAUCAUUGCCCCAGGUGAUAACUUCCAUUAUAACAGUGAACAAGGCAACUGUUUAUAGACAGUCCCACAGGUCUGCUGCUGCUGCUAUAAAUGCUUUGACUCUGAAUGCGCAUCAAUCCACUGCGGCAAAUAGUCCCCAGGAAAAUAGACUCUUUCCUCCUGUUUGGGAGACAUGUUUUAAAAACUACAGUGGAACAGGAACAUCGUUUUCAUUUAACAGACACUCGUGAUCUGAUCUUGGCUUGUGUUGAAAUAAGGAUGUUCGGCGAGUUUCCACUGACCUAAAUUCAAACAAGUCAACGCAGACCAUCUUUUUUUUUGCCACACAGGACACGACCAGCGGCCUCGUGGGGGAUCUCUUGACUGUCAAUUAGAACCCCCACCCACUCUCUCUCUUAAGUGUUAGCUAUCCCUCAACUGGUUGGACAUUUAAUGGGACAAAGGCUUAGUAAAUCGUCCCCCGGAGACCCCUAAAGAAAAUGUGUUAUUGUUAAAAGACUCACAAGGUCAACUUGCAGCGAAAAGAAUUUCCCCUCAGGUUAAUUUAGACUGCGGUCCGAGCAGAACAUAAUGCCCUGUUGUGAAUGAGACUAUUGAAAUAUAGCAACGGCGCGGUGUGACGGACUUGAGAGUGUGUUUGGUCAUCCAUUCCGCUGUGUUAUUUGACGACGCCUGCUGCAGUGUUUGGUCCGUCUGGAAGUUGUUCCCUCUGGGUGCUGCUGCUGAAAUCCACCUGACAGUUAGAGUCGAGCACGACGCCGUCUGUCCGCACUUCCAACAACAUGACUCGACGCUCGCAUUCAAUCUCCGGCACACUCAGACAAGUGACAUGGCAGCGUGCUGUGUUUUGCCUGCGUGUGGAUUCAGAUUUCUUUGAGUGACUCGGUGUUGUUUCUUGAAAAGGAUGUGCUGAGCCAAAGACAUCUGUGUGUCCAGAGUAUGCAAAGGUGGCACGUUUUGAUAGAUGAAUAUCUCAAAUAUUUUCAUUCCUGAACAGAUAUUCCUUCACUUGAUGUAUUACACUUAUUUGGUGUAAUAAAGAUUUGUCAAUGUUGAUUCAUUUUCUGUUGGCUGAGAUUUAUUCGUUUCACAUUCUCCUCAGCUCCCUAAGUAUUAAAUUAAACCAUAAUUGACUCAAUAAUGAUUCUGUUGGACAGAUGAGCCUGUUAUAAAUCUUCAUUUAGAUGAAGUUGAUCUCCAUCUCACAUCUGAGGAGCAUCUUCCCAGAUUACCUGUAGGUUAAAAUAUUUUUCCAAAUAUGAAUGAAUAUGAAGCAGUGAGUCAUUGAUGACAUCAUGUCAUCAUUGAUGACUCACUGCUUAGAUGUCAUUGCAUCUGCAUUCAUAAUUGCACAAACAUUAUACCAUAUUAUACCUAAAGAGGCCGGAGGAAUUAGGUGUACUUUGCCAACGAGGUGGUUGACUCUUGAAAAGCGAGCGGCGUUAUGACAGAAGUUCUAUUAAAAUGUUCAAGUACCUGCUCGCUCUGCAGCGGCAUGCACACACCAUAAACAACAUGUGUACGUCACGGACAUUUAACAACACUAAAUACACACAGCCUUCAACUGCAAACAAAGAGCUUCACAUUAAUGGUGUCACCUCAGGAAACAUUUCUGUUUAUUUGGCCCAGCUGACAGUUUUUGUCCACCAGACCACAAUAAUACACCAGAUAAAAGACAGCGAUGUGCUUAUAGCGCCAUCUUGUGUGGCUUAAAGGUAUUAAAGUUUAAAGGUUAUUAACGGUUUCUUUACCGAAGCUUUAAAAAAACACAUUUAAAAAGUAGCUUUGGCUGUCAAAAAUGAAACUAGAAAAUAUAAGACAUUUUCUUACACGUGUUCUGACACAUUUCUAUGUUCCUUUGCCGUUUAGCAACCACAUGUCUUUUUUCCGACACCAAAGAAUGUUCUUUUCUCACCUCUUCUGACAUCAACGGACAAAUAAUCUGCCACACAAACGCACAUGCGAUCUUAUCUUUACUGUUAGAAGCUCGUGUUAACCGUUGAAGGACUGUGAAGUUUGUUCACAUGAUGGUCCACCAACAACAUGUUCACUUCCUUUAAUACAUGUGAAUGUUGAUUAUAAGAAUCAACUUUGGGCAUAUGAGCUGCCCAUUUAAUGCAACAUUUAACUAUUUAAACUUGAGAUCAGGCUAAACCUCUAAACUGAGAUCACAAAGGCCAUCUGAUGUUUAAGAUUGAUAUCAAGACAGUUUAAUAGUUAGCUUUCAUCUCCAAGAUGCGCACCAGCAGUGAUAUUUACCUGAUGCUUGGGGAGAAUAUUGUUCUCAAUGUUCUCUUAUUUGUUAUUUCAUUUUAAAUGAUAUACUAUUUUCAGUGAAAGAGGGGUUUGGAAAGGUUAACUCAGAGAUUUUUUUAAUGUGUUCAUUUCAAGAAAAUAAGAAGGAAGCAAUACGUCAUGUUCCUUGUAGUUCCUUUAUUGAGGAAACUGAUUUUUUGCAUUUCAACAUAAUGUAAAGUCCCCGACCACGCGGCAACAUCCCUGGAACAGAUUGCAGAAUCGAAACUUUUGAAUUACUAGGACAGAAAACCAUAUCACCACAAACCCAGCAAGUUAUGGUUCAUUUUCCAGGUCAAAUCUAGUGUUGUAUUGAGGAAGAGUUUUCAGGUAUUUGUAUUUACGUUUCAAACUACUCAACGAUAUUCCAGAGAGAAGACUCUCAUUCAACAUUUGACUAUCUGUUGAGGCCCAAAAUACUAAUAUUAAGUAUUAAGAUUUCACUUGUACUUGCGUGGAGUACUUUGACAUCUCUGUAUACUUUUAAUAAAGUAAAUGAUCACUUAACGGAACGGAAUGAGUCAAAAGUCUAAGAAUAACUGUAGUGUCUUUAGAGUUUGUCAAAACCAUGAUAAUACUCUCAAGAACUGCUGCUUCCGGAUCUACACUCACGGGGCGCCAAUAAUCCAAUCGUUUUGGUACGACGUCAUCAUUAUAAUCUAAUUUUCAGGUGAUAAUUUGAUUUAAAGUUAUUGUGUCCUUAUCAUGCAGCUAUUUCCUGUGUCAUGGUGACAUCCUCUUUUUUUCUUUAGUUUGAUUUUAGUGGUUUUUGCUCUUCUUAUCUUUACAAAUAUAAAGCCAGAACCUGAACAACCAAAGUCCCAUGAAAUAUUUUGACCUUUCUGAAUCUCUCCAGAAGCCCAAACGCGUCUUCUUUUAUUCUAGUGUCUCCCAUAAACCCUCAGCGUGUGGCCAGGGGCCAGGGGCCCCCCGCCGGGGCCUUUUUUUUAAUUUUUUUUACGAGGCUUCCUGGGGA